GGUGAGGAAACUGAGACCCAGAUUUUGCAGAUGUCACAGAGCUAGCUGCAAUUCUUGAAUCUGAAUCCACGUCCUUUCCCACUGUACCACACUGCCUGUGAUAAGAAGGACAAGGAUGAAGAUGAUCAAUCACAGAAACAUUGUCAACGUCAUUCAAGAUUUCAGUGAGAACCUGAACCUGAGGGUUUAGGAACCAGAAGAGGAGUGUAAUCAGAAAACCUCCUAAGCAAAGCUGCAUAUCUGCAGAGCAAGAGAAUAUUGAACAGAGACGGAAGCCAAGUCCUUUGGUUACCCCUAGUGCUUCAUUCCUCUGGGCUCCAUCCAUACUUCCUGCCAGGAGAAGAGAACUAUGCAGUGGUGGACCUUGGCUCUCCUAGCCCUGCUGCCUUUGCUCCGAGGGGAUCCAACCACCACCCAAGUUUCUCCAGCAGAGAAUGAUAUCCCCAGACAAGAGGAAAUUAGUAAAGAAUCCAGUUCAAAUUUAGAGUUGGAUUCUAACCCUGGAUUUGGUGAGGAAUCAAGUGAAGAAAUCAUUGAAGGAGACUCCACUGGGAAAGCCAGUAGGGAAGAACACAGGAAAACCAGCCCCAAAACUAGAUGGAGAGCUACAAUGGAAAUCCAGAGAGGAUGCAAUCUGGGAGCACAGAAUUGA
RNAcentral lists this long non-coding RNA (652 nucleotides) under Phascolarctos cinereus (koala). RNAcentral's name for it is "lncRNA (ENSPCIG00000032023.1)". The record is from RNAcentral. Lineage: Eukaryota; Metazoa; Chordata; Mammalia; Diprotodontia; Phascolarctidae.